AGAGUUUGAUCAUGGCUCAGAUUGAACGCUGGCGGCAGGCCUAACACAUGCAAGUCGAACGGUAACAGGAAGCAGCUUGCUGCUUUGCUGACGAGUGGCGGACGGGUGAGUAAUGUCUGGGAAACUGCCCGAUGGAGGGGGAUAACUACUGGAAACGGUAGCUAAUACCGCAUAACGUCGCAAGACCAAAGAGGGGGACCUUAGGGCCUCUUGCCAUCGGAUGUGCCCAGAUGGGAUUAGCUAGUAGGUGGGGUAACGGCUCACCUAGGCGACGAUCCCUAGCUGGUCUGAGAGGAUGACCAGCCACACUGGAACUGAGACACGGUCCAGACUCCUACGGGAGGCAGCAGUGGGGAAUAUUGCACAAUGGGCGCAAGCCUGAUGCAGCCAUGCCGCGUGUAUGAAGAAGGCCUUCGGGUUGUAAAGUACUUUCAGCGGGAGGAAGGGAGUAAAGUUAAUACCUUUGCUCAUUGACGUUACCCGCAGAAGAAGCACCGGCUAACUCCGUGCCAGCAGCCGCGGUAAUACGGAGGGUGCAAGCGUUAAUCGGAAUUACUGGGCGUAAAGCGCACGCAGGCGGUUUGUUAAGUCAGAUGUGAAAUCCCCGGGCUCAACCUGGGAACUGCAUCUGAUACUGGCAAGCUUGAGUCUCGUAGAGGGGGGUAGAAUUCCAGGUGUAGCGGUGAAAUGCGUAGAGAUCUGGAGGAAUACCGGUGGCGAAGGCGGCCCCCUGGACGAAGACUGACGCUCAGGUGCGAAAGCGUGGGGAGCAAACAGGAUUAGAUACCCUGGUAGUCCACGCCGUAAACGAUGUCGACUUGGAGGUUGUGCCCUUGAGGCGUGGCUUCCGGAGCUAACGCGUUAAGUCGACCGCCUGGGGAGUACGGCCGCAAGGUUAAAACUCAAAUGAAUUGACGGGGGCCCGCACAAGCGGUGGAGCAUGUGGUUUAAUUCGAUGCAACGCGAAGAACCUUACCUGGUCUUGACAUCCACGGAAGUUUUCAGAGAUGAGAAUGUGCCUUCGGGAACCGUGAGACAGGUGCUGCAUGGCUGUCGUCAGCUCGUGUUGUGAAAUGUUGGGUUAAGUCCCGCAACGAGCGCAACCCUUAUCCUUUGUUGCCAGCGGUCCGGCCGGGAACUCAAAGGAGACUGCCAGUGAUAAACUGGAGGAAGGUGGGGAUGACGUCAAGUCAUCAUGGCCCUUACGACCAGGGCUACACACGUGCUACAAUGGCGCAUACAAAGAGAAGCGACCUCGCGAGAGCAAGCGGACCUCAUAAAGUGCGUCGUAGUCCGGAUUGGAGUCUGCAACUCGACUCCAUGAAGUCGGAAUCGCUAGUAAUCGUGGAUCAGAAUGCCACGGUGAAUACGUUCCCGGGCCUUGUACACACCGCCCGUCACACCAUGGGAGUGGGUUGCAAAAGAAGUAGGUAGCUUAACCUUCGGGAGGGCGCUUACCACUUUGUGAUUCAUGACUGGGGUGAAGUCGUAACAAGGUAACCGUAGGGGAACCUGCGGUUGGAUCACCU
Molecule: ribosomal RNA, 1529 nt
Filed under: Escherichia coli DEC2E
Lineage: Bacteria; Pseudomonadati; Pseudomonadota; Gammaproteobacteria; Enterobacterales; Enterobacteriaceae
Description: bacterial SSU rRNA
Rfam family: Bacterial small subunit ribosomal RNA
Source: RNAcentral